UACGUAGGGGGCAAGCGUUGUCCGGAUUUAUUGGGCGUAAAGAGCGUGUAGGCGGCCAUACAGGUCCGUUGUGAAAACUGGAGGCUUAACCUCCAGACGUCGAUGGAAACCGUAUGGCUAGAGUCCGGAAGAGGAGAGUGGAAUUCCUGGUGUAGCGGUGAAAUGCGCAGAUAUCAGGAAGAACACCCGUGGCGAAGGCGGUUCUCUGGGCCUUACCUGACGCUGAGGAGCGAAAGCGUGGGGAGCAAACAGG
Molecule: ribosomal RNA, 253 nt
Filed under: uncultured bacterium
Lineage: Bacteria
Description: partial 16S ribosomal RNA
Rfam family: Bacterial small subunit ribosomal RNA
Source: RNAcentral